UGAAUUAGGGACAUACUGAAAAUGGGUAAGA
Molecule: non-coding RNA, 31 nt
Filed under: Homo sapiens (human)
Lineage: Eukaryota; Metazoa; Chordata; Mammalia; Primates; Hominidae
Source: RNAcentral